Molecule: long non-coding RNA, 494 nt
Organism: Anastrepha ludens (Mexican fruit fly)
Lineage: Eukaryota; Metazoa; Arthropoda; Insecta; Diptera; Tephritidae
Exons: 2
Source: RefSeq, a predicted model, not a curated record
AUGGUUUUUAUUGCACUAUACAUAUAUUUAUUAUUAUAAUUCAUGGCAAGGAAAGUGCCGAAUGUGAAAUUGAUCUUGAUGAACUUAAUGACUACUUUAUUAGUGUUGACUGUUAAUAUCAACAUAAGUAGCGCGAGGACUUAGAGCCUUGUAGAGCUCGGCAAAGUUGGGUCGCUCCUCCGCAUUCUCAUCCCAGCAUUGCAACAUCAUAGCGUAAACCUGAUCGGUGCAUAUUUCUGGUUUCUCCAGUCUUUUGCCGGACAACAAAUACGGGAUUAGUUCGUGAUUGCUGAUGGUCGGAUAUGGCGAGGCGCCCAGGGUGCCUAUCUCCCACAAAACGACGCCAUAUGCCCACACGUCGCUUUUGUUCGAGUAAACAUUGUCACGAAUCGCCUCAAUGGAUAGCCAACGCAAUGGCAGCUUUAAUUGCGAAUAGGUAAAUUUGAAUAUGCAUUAUUUUUUUCAUUUACGCAAUAAAAUCUCAUAAAUGCGAA